RNAcentral lists this long non-coding RNA (1223 nucleotides) under Homo sapiens (human). Its description in RNAcentral is "non-protein coding LINC02148:7". The record is from RNAcentral. Lineage: Eukaryota; Metazoa; Chordata; Mammalia; Primates; Hominidae.
AGGAGCGUCUCUGCCCGGCCGCCCAUCGUCUGAGAUGUGGGGAGCUCCUCUGCCCCGCCGCCCUGUCUGGGAUGUGAGGAGCGCCUCUGCCCGGCCGCGACCCCGUCUGGGAACUGAUGAGUGUCUCUGCCCGAUCGCCACCCCAUCUGGGAGAGGAAAGGCCAUGUAAGGACAGAGCAAACAGGCAACUGUCUGCAAACCAGGAAGAGAGGCCUCACCAGAUAUCAACCUUCAUGGCACCUUGAUCUUGAUCUUUCCAGACUGUGAGAAAAUUAACUUCUGUUGUUGUUUAAGCUGCCCUCCAACUCCGUCUGUAGUAUUUUGUUACGGCAGCCCAAACAGACUAAUACAUCAAGUAACCACACAAAUGCAUGUACAAUUAAAACUGACCUAACUGUUAAGAAGAGGAGAUAGGGCAAGAGUAUAUUUAUCGAGGGUAUUCUAUCUGGUCAGAGAUGAGAGAGAAAGAUUUUUCUGGGUAAAGUUAACAAGGUAUAUAGGGUGGGGUGAAUAUGGAGUGGGGAAUGGUCCCAGAUAGGGCCAAUUGCUUGUGCAAAGGCCCUGGGGUGAGACAGAGCACAGUUUAUUAGAGAAACCAAGUGGCAGCUGUGUGAUUGGGGUGCUAAGAGUGAAGAGGAAGGUGAUACAGGUGAGGGUGGAGAAGAGGGUGAGGCCUAACUUCCCAGGACCAUGCAGGAUUUUCACUGCUAACUUGGGCCACUUGCACACCAGACUGGAGCUGGAAAUGGUGGGUAUGGGAGACAGAGAUCAAAAUAACCUCUAGAUGUCCACUUGCAUAGCUGGUAGGUCACGGGACCAUUCAUGAUAGGGAAGCCCAGGAGAGAACCAGAUUUCAAAGAGAAAGUCAUGAAUUUGCACGUGUCAAGCUUGUUGUGCUUUUGAGUCACUUAGAAAGAGACAUUUGUUUGCGGACCUAUCUACAAGUCUAGACUCAGACAGAGACCUGAGUCAUGUCAUUACACUGACAAGGUGGGAGAGGUGAUUCGGGACAGUCAUUCUCAGACUUUGAGUUUCAAGACCCCUUUACACUCUUAAAAACCAUCAAGGACCUCAAAGAGCUUCUGUUUAUGUGGGUUAUAUCUGUCCAUAUUUACUGUAUUAGAAAUGUAAACUGAAAUAUUAAUAUUAAUUUAUAAUAAACCUGUUUUACCUUAACAUAAAAAAAAGAAAUAAAACAUGCAAAAAUAUUUUACUACAGAUUA